This is a non-coding RNA of Taeniopygia guttata (zebra finch), 1406 nucleotides long. NCBI's taxonomy places the organism in Eukaryota, Metazoa, Chordata, Aves, Passeriformes, Estrildidae. The record is from RefSeq and is a predicted model, not a curated record.
UCAAAAUCAAUCUGAAUUUUUUCAGGUCUGAAUUUUGGAAUUGUGUUUGUCCAGAUCAAUUGCUUGGAUUAAAAUUACUGUGAAGUACUGAAUUUCUGUGCCACAUACUCCUCUGUGUUGCUUUCAAGGAAAGUCUUUCAGCGGAAUCAGCAGACCUGGUCUCUCUACCCUGACUUUGCAAAUGGAAGCAGUGCUGAUGUAAGGACGAGAGCUGCAUCAUCAGCAGCAACUGGAAGAGCUGAAUGAAGUGUAAGGUCUUGCAUUUCAUACAUCCAACGGCACUGCCAAGAUUCUGACACCUUGGGGGUUUCAUGAUGAAGUGGAAAGAAAUUAAGAACUGCUGGAAAUCUGUGAAGGAAAAUUCAAUACAACUGGAAAGCAUUGCGAGGUCAGGGUGCAGAAGUGUGAUCCCAUAUGUGGGUGGAGGCAAGGGAAAGAAGAGUUAAAUUUACUAAAUGUACUAAAUGAUUAAAUUUACCAUUGCAUUUUUACCUGAACUACUAAAAGCAGCCUGUCUGUUCAAAGCAAGGUAGUCAGCACUGCAAAAGCUGCUGAAAGGUUGUCCUCAAGUGAGGCACUGCAGGAUGAAGUCACCACUGUUUGUGGAGGAAGGUAUGGAAAGGUUGAAAGUCAUUUCAGAAGUACAGAGAUGGCUGCUGUGGUUAACUUCACAAGCUCUUGUGCUCAGUGCCCUUUGUGUGCUGUCAAUCCCACGUUGCCAGGAGGACUGUUGGGGUACACAGUUGUGUCAGCAGCCGUACAGGUACAGCCCUUAUGUUUGUGACAAUGUGAAAACAGGAGCUGGCACAAUAAAAGAACCAUGUAGGAAAGGUAUUUCACUCGAGCAGAUAAGGAUAUAGCAUUGCUGUGCUUCACUGCUCAGCAUGUAAAACAUCUGUUAAAUUCCUUUGUUUUCUGUGUCCUUGUUGACAUUCACAAAAUUCUAUUAGACAAAUGUAUGCUAGUAAAAUAUUCCUUUUUGAUACUGUAUACUGUAAUUCAGUGCUUCCAUUUCUUUUAGCAGCAGACAUCAUAGAAUAAUUUUGUACUGCGAUGUCCUCCAGUUGUCCUCUGAAGAAAUCUAAACUACUGUGCUGAGGGCUGAAUACAAAAGGUAAUUUUCAUAUAGAUACAUCCCAGUAAACCUUAGACAAAACUUCUUUGCAUGUACAGUAGAUGCUUUCCAGACUUGUAACCUCAAAACUUAGUUCUAUUUCAAAAUGGAUAAAUCAGUUAUUUCUACUUUUUUAUAUACUGCUGCAUGUGAAUAUCUCUUAAGUAAAAUGGAGACAUCACUUUAACCUUCAAUAAGUUGUGCAUGUAUAUCUGCCUUGGUGUGUGCUUGCAUGUACAUAAGUGCACUCUCUUGUUCAGCCUGUUAAAAAAAACCAGAAAACAAACAAACA